UGUCAUGGGGGUGGGGCGGGGUGGUGGUGGGGUGGAGGGGUGAAAAUCGUCAGUAACGAAAAUAAGGAUCGAGGGUAAUCAGUAUUGAAGGUUUCAUGAAGUCAACAAUUUCUAUUGUGACGGAUAUAGCACGUUCAUCGAAUGUUCAUAUACAAAGAAAAACUAUUAGUAAUGCUGAACAUUUUAUUCCAGAAAAAGAGAGAAUAAUUAUAGGCUACUAAAUUUUAAUAUUCCAGAGAAAGGUACGAAGACAAAAUUAAUACCCUGUGUUGCAACUGAACAGAACUAUUCCUCUUUGAAAUGCACACUGUGCCAUACAUAUUAUUGUGAAAAAAUGGGACUGGACAAAUCGAUGGAAGAUGUGUAGAUUUCCUAGGGAGCAAGGGUGUAGGUUGGGGGGAUGUGGGUGUCGGCUAAAACAUUUAUUUGUACAGUGCAGUAGGCCUACUUUAGGCUAUCCAUAUAGAUUGACAAGAAAACUGUAAACCAAAGUUUAAAAGGGUCCACUAGGUUUAUAAUCGACAUCUUCCCCGGUCCAGAACUCGUCACGCUCCUGGGAAGUCAGGAAUGAUUUCUUGUUACAGUGGUGAAGUUUCCACCUACGAGGAAGUAUUACAAACAUAAACAGCCAAACAGAAACAUGUUAUAACUGCCAGGAAUGAUGUCUUGUUACAGUUGUGAAGUUUCCGCUUACGAGGAAGUAUUACAAACAUAAACAGCCAAACAGAAACAUGUUAUAGCUGCCAGGAAUGAUGUCUUGUUACAGUUGUGAAUUUCCGCCUACGAGGAAGUACCCGGUAUUACAAACAUAAACAGCCAGCCAAAGAGAAACAUGUUAUAACUAUCACCACCCCCUCCUCACCCCCAAAAGAAUCUAAACAAAUCAACGUUUUCCGCUUAUGGAUAGGCACCUUAAAAUGUUAAAAAAAAAAAAAAAAAAAAAAAAAAAAAAAUUAUAUAUAUAUAUAUAUAUAUAUAUAUAUAUAUAUAUAUAUAUAUAUAUAUUUCUACUGCUACUAUUUAUUGUUGUCAUUAUUAUUAGGCCUAUUAUUAUUAUUAUUAUUAUUAUUAUUAUUAUUAUUUAUUUUUUUGGUAAAGUCAUUGUGUGAUUAUUGCCAUUAUAUUAAAAAAUAUAUAAUUAAAAAAAAAAAAAA
Gigantopelta aegis is the source of this 1154-nucleotide long non-coding RNA. RefSeq lists it as uncharacterized. The transcript is spliced from 2 exons. The record is from RefSeq and is a predicted model, not a curated record. Lineage: Eukaryota; Metazoa; Mollusca; Gastropoda; Neomphalida; Peltospiridae.